This 2570-nucleotide long non-coding RNA is filed under the name Equus asinus (donkey). RNAcentral's name for it is "lncRNA (ENSEASG00005031615.1)". The record is from RNAcentral. Lineage: Eukaryota; Metazoa; Chordata; Mammalia; Perissodactyla; Equidae.
GGGUUGCGGGAAAGCGAGCGGGGCGUUCUGGAAGAUCUGGCUGCGGCUCGCCAUGUUUGAUCCUGGCAAGAGCGAAAGGAUCCAGUUAGAAUACCUUCCUCCUGCCCAAACUAAUAAACCACGUGCCGACCUUUUGCUUUUUAUUGGCUGCUGAUGACUGGUCAGAAAAUGUUAAAGAACUUUAGAGUUUCUGCCGUGGAGACACAAAAGUCCGGGACGUUUUUUAGAACUCUGUGAUCAGAGAAGAAGAGAUUGCUAAAUAGGAAAUAAUUACGGGAAUGAUGCAAGACAGGCUAUUAUCAAGUUCUGAAUUUUAAGGUGCAAAAUAGAAGUGUUGUAAAAGUUCACAGGCAGGGAAGAUUUGUGGCAGGUGUCGUCCAGAACUUGAAGGAUGACGGUCACCCACAAACACACAUAUGUGUUGACAUUGUAUUAUUGCCAGUUUGGAGAUAGCGUUGGGGACAAUGGACAAAGUUAUACCCACGGGGCAAUAUGGAAAAAGACAACUGUUUGGUCAUUCUGACCCUGGAGCACCUUGAACUCCAGGUCCAACCAGUUGCUGGAACCAAGUUCCAAGAAGGCAGCUUCCUGAAAUAGGACUGGAGGAAAAACUCACAGAUAUACCGCGUGCAUUGCUGUAGCCCCAAAGUUGGACAAGGCAUUGUUUCUUUUUCAUGACUUUGCUUCUCCACCCUGAUUGAUUCACUCAGUUCUCCACCCUUUUCUUGUUUUCUUCUUUUUCUCUCCUAUACAUGUUUUCUAUUUGCCUGAGCUGAACAUGUUGAAAACUGAACUCAUAAUUUCCCUCCUCAGACCUGCUCAUUUUCAUUUAUUUGUUCGUCUCUGUUAGUGGCAUGAUGAGCAACCACCACUAAUCCCAGCCGGAAGCCUGCAACUCAUCUAGUCCAAACUCAGUCCUCCCUCACCCUCCCACCCCCAUCAGUACUGAAGUCUUUCAUAUGCUUAUUACCUCCUAAAAUUUAUUAGACCUGUCCUCUCCUCAGCAGCCUCUCUCUCAAACUAUUGGGGUAGCUGCCUGAUUAAUUUCUCUGCCCUUUGGCCUUGACAUUCUCAGGCUCCUCUGGGCUGCAGGGAUCUAAAUGCAAAUCUGAACAUGUCAACAUGUGUCUCUAUCAUGGACUCAGUCAAGGCAAAGCUCCUUAACCUAGAUAGAACACACCCAGCAGCAUCUGGCCGCUGCCUGACCUACCAUCUUCCUCUGUUUCUCCCUCCUUCUCUCUCCCACACUCUCCCUUUUGAUGGGCAAUUUAAGCUACUUGCAGUUCCCCAAACACUCCUAUGCUUUUUCACGCCACUGAACUUGUGCUUAUGUUUUUCCCUGUGCUUGGAACACCACCUGGUUGACCCUACUCAUCCUCAAAACACAACUCAGGAUUUACUUUCUCUUAGAAACAUUCCCAGAUCCCAUGUCUGCCCCCUAAGCCAGUACUUCUCAAAUCUUAACGUGCACAUGAUUCAUCUAGGGAUCUCGUUAAAACUCAGACUCACAUUCAGUCAGUCUGGGCUGGAGCCAGAAAGUCUGCAUUUCUCAUGAGUUUCCAGGAGAUGCUGCUGCUGGUCCAACUACACUUGAAGUAGCAAGGCUCUGGGCUCUAGCAAAAGCCCCUCCUCUUCUGAGUUCCUGGGCUAACCUCUGUGUGGCACUAUCUCCCCUGCAUUAAAUUCUUUGUAUAGAUUUCUGUCCUUCCACUUUUAAAGCUCAUUGAGAUUAGAACCAAGUCUUCUUUGUAUCCUAAGUGCCAAGUGCUUACAUUUACCAAGUAAAACUGAGCUCUCCCUGACCUUUUUAAAAUUUUUCUCAUCAUUGUUUUCCCUCCCAUUUACGUUUUGGCAAAGGAACUCUUUUGUAACCUGAGAUUUUCAGGUCUUGGCAUGACUGGAAGGAAAUAAACAUUGGGUCACUAUAUUUGUGCGUCAUGUGCAUACACACGCACACACCCUUCUCUCCCCUGAGAGAAAACUGACAGACAAAGAACUCCUAACUCCAGAAGAAAGCUGGCCUCGGCACAAACACAUGGAGAGCCGGAAGACAGACACAGCUCUCUUCUCCUCUUCCUUCCUGUUUCCUAGAUAGGAAGUGUUCUUACUGGGGCGGGUGGCCAGACCCCAGAGACAUCUCAGAGUACCUGAGGGUUUAUCACGCUGUCCCUCAAUUCAUAUAUUGAACAAAUGUUCAUCGAGCACCAACUAUGUGCCAAACAUGGUUUUCUGACUUCAUUGUAAGCUCUUUUCUACUCCCUACAGUCUAGCCAGGCUAUCCAGCCUGUUGCCUUUUUGUUAGGCUCAGAUUUUUACCCUGAGGGGCCAAUGGUUUGUGCAAAGUCUUAAGCCAUUUCAUCUUCCAUAUAUUUCAUAAUAGGUGGCAGGUUAGUAAAUGCCAGACCAGCAAAGUCUAUGGGAAAAUAGAAUAGGGUUUUUUAAGUGCAGAGGUAAAAAGGAUGUGUGAGCUGAGGCUCAGAGAAGACUGAAGGAAAAGGAAGAAAUGAGGGGUCCACCCAGGGCCUGAUCCUGAGGGACUUGUCAAAGAAGCCCCAACAUCCACUCCCCAG